UUUAUGGAGAGUUUGAUCCUGGCUCAGGAUGAACGCUGGCGGCGUGCCUAAUACAUGCAAGUCGAGCGAACAGACAAGGAGCUUGCUCCUUUGACGUUAGCGGCGGACGGGUGAGUAACACGUGGGUAACCUACCUAUAAGACUGGGAUAACUUCGGGAAACCGGAGCUAAUACCGGAUAAUAUUUCGAACCGCAUGGUUCGAUAGUGAAAGAUGGUUUUGCUAUCACUUAUAGAUGGACCCGCGCCGUAUUAGCUAGUUGGUAAGGUAACGGCUUACCAAGGCGACGAUACGUAGCCGACCUGAGAGGGUGAUCGGCCACACUGGAACUGAGACACGGUCCAGACUCCUACGGGAGGCAGCAGUAGGGAAUCUUCCGCAAUGGGCGAAAGCCUGACGGAGCAACGCCGCGUGAGUGAUGAAGGUCUUCGGAUCGUAAAACUCUGUUAUUAGGGAAGAACAUACAUGUAAGUAACUAUGCACGUCUUGACGGUACCUAAUCAGAAAGCCACGGCUAACUACGUGCCAGCAGCCGCGGUAAUACGUAGGUGGCAAGCGUUAUCCGGAAUUAUUGGGCGUAAAGCGCGCGUAGGCGGUUUUUUAAGUCUGAUGUGAAAGCCCACGGCUCAACCGUGGAGGGUCAUUGGAAACUGGAAAACUUGAGUGCAGAAGAGGAAAGUGGAAUUCCAUGUGUAGCGGUGAAAUGCGCAGAGAUAUGGAGGAACACCAGUGGCGAAGGCGACUUUCUGGUCUGUAACUGACGCUGAUGUGCGAAAGCGUGGGGAUCAAACAGGAUUAGAUACCCUGGUAGUCCACGCCGUAAACGAUGAGUGCUAAGUGUUAGGGGGUUUCCGCCCCUUAGUGCUGCAGCUAACGCAUUAAGCACUCCGCCUGGGGAGUACGACCGCAAGGUUGAAACUCAAAGGAAUUGACGGGGACCCGCACAAGCGGUGGAGCAUGUGGUUUAAUUCGAAGCAACGCGAAGAACCUUACCAAAUCUUGACAUCCUUUGACAACUCUAGAGAUAGAGCCUUCCCCUUCGGGGGACAAAGUGACAGGUGGUGCAUGGUUGUCGUCAGCUCGUGUCGUGAGAUGUUGGGUUAAGUCCCGCAACGAGCGCAACCCUUAAGCUUAGUUGCCAUCAUUAAGUUGGGCACUCUAAGUUGACUGCCGGUGACAAACCGGAGGAAGGUGGGGAUGACGUCAAAUCAUCAUGCCCCUUAUGAUUUGGGCUACACACGUGCUACAAUGGACAAUACAAAGGGCAGCGAAACCGCGAGGUCAAGCAAAUCCCAUAAAGUUGUUCUCAGUUCGGAUUGUAGUCUGCAACUCGACUACAUGAAGCUGGAAUCGCUAGUAAUCGUAGAUCAGCAUGCUACGGUGAAUACGUUCCCGGGUCUUGUACACACCGCCCGUCACACCACGAGAGUUUGUAACACCCGAAGCCGGUGGAGUAACCAUUUGGAGCUAGCCGUCGAAGGUGGGACAAAUGAUUGGGGUGAAGUCGUAACAAGGUAGCCGUAUCGGAAGGUGCGGCUGGAUCACCUCCUUU
RNAcentral lists this ribosomal RNA (1551 nucleotides) under Staphylococcus haemolyticus. Its description in RNAcentral is "bacterial SSU rRNA". It matches the Rfam family "Bacterial small subunit ribosomal RNA". Lineage: Bacteria; Bacillati; Bacillota; Bacilli; Caryophanales; Staphylococcaceae. The record is from RNAcentral.